This 315-nucleotide ribosomal RNA is filed under the name uncultured eukaryote. RNAcentral describes it as "partial 18S ribosomal RNA". It matches the Rfam family "Eukaryotic small subunit ribosomal RNA", at positions 1470 to 1796 of the family's 1831-position model. The record is from RNAcentral.
CCCUUAGAUGUUCUGGGCUGCACGCGCGCUACACUGACGCACGCAACAGGUGCCUGCUCCGAGAGGACUGGGUAAUCAUUUGAGUGUGCGUCGUGAUGGGGAUAGAAUAUUGUAAUUAUUACUCUUCAACGAGGAAUUCCUAGUAAGCGCCAGUCAGCAGCUUGCGCUGAUUACGUCCCUGCCCUUUGUACACACCGCCCGUCGCUCCUACCGAUGGGUGAUCCGGUGAAUGAUUCGGACUUCAGCGGCUCCCCUGGGGUGCGCCGGAGAAAGUUUUGUGAACCUUAUCACUUGGAGGAAGGAGAAGUCGUAGCA